AGCAGCCGCGGUAAUUCCAGCUCCAAUAGCGUAUAUUAAAGUUGUUGCAGUUAAAAAGCUCGUAGUUGAAUUUCGGGAUCAAUGUUUCGGUCAUGCCGUUGGUAUGUACUGAUAUUAUUGAUUUCUCACCUUCUAAAGAACCGUAAUGCCAUUAAUUUGGUGUCACGGGGAAUUAGGACUGUUACCUUGAAAAAUUAGAGUGUUUAAAGCAGGCUCACGCUUGAAUACAUUAGCAUGGAAUAAUGAAAUAGGACAUCCGAUUCUAUUUUGUUGGUUUCUAGGAUCGAUGUAAUGAUUAAUAGGGAUAGUUGGGGGCAUUAGUAUUCAAUUGUCAGAGGUGAAAUUCUUGGAUUUAUUGAAGACUAACUACUGCGAAAGCAUUUGCCAAGGAUGUUUUCAUUAAUCAAGAACGAAAGUUAGGGGAUCGAAGACGAUCAGAUACCGUCGUAGUCUUAACCAUAAACUAUGCCGACUAGGGAUCGGAUGAUGUAAUUUUUAAUGUA
RNAcentral lists this ribosomal RNA (503 nucleotides) under uncultured Glomus. RNAcentral's name for it is "SSU rRNA". It matches the Rfam family "Eukaryotic small subunit ribosomal RNA", at positions 569 to 1076 of the family's 1831-position model. Lineage: Eukaryota; Fungi; Glomeromycota; Glomeromycetes; Glomerales; Glomeraceae. The record is from RNAcentral.